UACGGAGGGGGCCAGCGUUGCUCGGAAUCACUGGGCGUAAAGGGCUCGUAGGCGGUCUGAUAAGUCCUGUGUGAAAUCCCUUGGCUCAACCAAGGAACUGCGCCGGAUACUGUCGGACUAGAGGCCGGGAGGGGGAAGCGGAAUUCCCAGUGUAGCGGUGAAAUGCGUAGAUAUUGGGAGGAACAUCGGUGGCGAAGGCGGCUUCCUGGACCGGUUCUGACGCUGAGGAGCGAAAGCUAGGGUAGCAAACAGG
RNAcentral lists this ribosomal RNA (253 nucleotides) under uncultured bacterium. Its description in RNAcentral is "partial 16S ribosomal RNA". It matches the Rfam family "Bacterial small subunit ribosomal RNA", at positions 524 to 776 of the family's 1533-position model. The record is from RNAcentral.